RNAcentral lists this ribosomal RNA (406 nucleotides) under uncultured bacterium. RNAcentral describes it as "partial 16S ribosomal RNA". It matches the Rfam family "Bacterial small subunit ribosomal RNA", at positions 30 to 526 of the family's 1533-position model. The record is from RNAcentral.
AUUGAACGCUGGCGGCAGGCCUAACACAUGCAAGUCGAACGAGUGGCGGACGGGUGAGUAAUGUCUGGGAAACUGCCUGAUGGAGGGGGAUAACUACUGGAAACGGUAGCUAAUACCGCAUACCAUCAGAUGUGCCCAGCUGGGCUUAGCUAGUUGGUGGGGUGACGGCUCACCAAGGCGCCGAUCCCUAGCUGGUCUGAGAGGAUGAACAGCCACACUGGAAUUGAGACACGGUCCAUACUCCUACGGUGGGCAGCAGUGGGGAAUAUUGCACAAUGGGCGUAAGCCUGAUGCAGCCAUGCCGCGUGUAUGAAGAAGUCCUUCGGGUUGUAAAGAACUUUCAGCGAGGAGGCGUUACCCGCAGAAGAAGCACCGGCUAACUCCGUGCCAGCAGCCGCGGUAAUUC